This 506-nucleotide ribosomal RNA is filed under the name uncultured bacterium. Its description in RNAcentral is "partial 16S ribosomal RNA". It matches the Rfam family "Bacterial small subunit ribosomal RNA", at positions 29 to 523 of the family's 1533-position model. The record is from RNAcentral.
AGUGAACGCUGGCGGUGGGCCUAACACAUGCAAGUCGAACGGCAGCACAGAGGAGCUUGCUCCUUGGGUGGCGAGUGGCGGACGGGUGAGGAAUACAUCGGAAUCUACUCUGUCGUGGGGGAUAACGUAGGGAAACUUACGCUAAUACCGCAUACGACCUACGGGUGAAAGCAGGGGAUCUUCGGACCUUGCGCGAUUGAAUGAGCCGAUGUCGGAUUAGCUAGAUGGCGGGGUAAAGGCCCACCAAGGCGACGAUCCGUAGCUGGUCUGAGAGGAGUAUCGGCCACACUGGAACGUAGACACGGUCCAGACUCCUCCGGGAGGCAGAAGUGGGGAAUAGUGGACAAUGGGCGCAAGCCUGAUCCAGCCCUACCGCGUGGGUGAAGAAGGCCUUCGGGUUGUAAAGCCCUUUUGUUGGGAAAGAAAGCCAUCUGGUUAAUACCCGGGUGGGAUGACGGUACCCAAAGAAUAAGCACCGGCUAACUUCGUGCCAGCCGCCGCCGUAA